Molecule: long non-coding RNA, 629 nt
Filed under: Capsicum annuum
Lineage: Eukaryota; Viridiplantae; Streptophyta; Magnoliopsida; Solanales; Solanaceae
Description: long non-coding RNA (CANN_LNC002408)
Source: RNAcentral
UUCCUAUUAUUGCAAAGAUGCUGAGCAAAUUUGCUGGACCAAAGUGAGUUUUCUGGACCCAACGAAGAUGCAUAUCACCAAAGCAGGUGCACCAAGCGGCGCCCAAAUCUUUGUCUAUCCAAGUAUAUAUUCAAACAUAUCAAUACAUAUGCUGAUUGAUUUGAGUUAAAUGGGAUUUGUGCGAUGUAAACAGUUUUCGGAGGGUUUAGAUAUGUUCCUUUUUUGUGUUGAAUCAUUUUUGUUAGGAUUCACUGUUCCCUAGUGAUACAAGAAUAAUCACGGAUAUGAACUUCAGAGAGUGCGUGUUGGACCCGAGACUUGGUGGAUGCAAAUGAAAUGUAAAGAAGCACCUAAAUGGACACCAAAACCGUCCAUACAUAGCACUCUAAGGGCGCCUAAUUUGAAGCCAUUCUUGUAAUAAGUCUAUAAAUAGACUAGUUUAGUUCUUUAGUUCUUUAGUUGAUGAUUAUUGUAAGUUUCAACUUUUGAAACACCAAGUCCUCUUUCCUUGAGGCACAAAACUUGUAACUAGGAUAGCAUUCAGGGUGGAAUUUCUUGUGAUUGCUUGUUUGUUAGAAACGUUGGUGCUUGAGUGGUGGACUCCGCUCUUGUAUCGUCGUAAGAACUUG